RNAcentral lists this ribosomal RNA (658 nucleotides) under uncultured bacterium. RNAcentral's name for it is "bacterial SSU rRNA". It matches the Rfam family "Bacterial small subunit ribosomal RNA", at positions 740 to 1397 of the family's 1533-position model. The record is from RNAcentral.
UCGACGGUGAGGGGUGAAAGCGUGGGUAGCAAACAGGAUUAGAUACCCUGGUAGUCCACGCCGUAAACGAUGAUAACUAGCCGUUGGGGGGAUUUACCCUUUAGUGGCGAAGCUAACGCGUUAAGUUAUCCGCCUGGGGAGUACGGCCGCAAGGUUAAAACUCAAAGGAAUUGACGGGGACCCGCACAAGCGGUGGAGCAUGUGGUUUAAUUCGAUGCAACGCGAAGAACCUUACCUGGUCUUGACAUCCUGCGAACUUUCUAGAAAUAGAUUGGUGCCUUCGGGAACGCAGUGACAGGUGCUGCAUGGCUGUCGUCAGCUCGUGUCGUGAGAUGUUGGGUUAAGUCCCGUAACGAGCGCAACCCCUAUCCUUAUUUGCCAGCACAUCAUGGUGGGAACUAUAAGGAGACUGCCGGUGAUAAACCGGAGGAAGGCGGGGACGACGUCAAGUCAUCAUGGCCCUUACGACCAGGGCUACACACGUGCUACAAUGGGAAGGACAAAGAGCCGCGAAGCCGCGAGGUGUAGCUAAUCUCAUAAACCUUUUCGUAGUCCGGAUUGGAGUCUGCAACUCGACUCCAUGAAGUCGGAAUCGCUAGUAAUCGUAGAUCAGAAUGCUACGGUGAAUACGUUCCCGGGUCUUGCACACACCGCCCGU